RNAcentral lists this ribosomal RNA (400 nucleotides) under uncultured bacterium. Its description in RNAcentral is "bacterial SSU rRNA". It matches the Rfam family "Bacterial small subunit ribosomal RNA", at positions 355 to 747 of the family's 1533-position model. The record is from RNAcentral.
UGGGGAAUUUUGGACAAUGGACGCAAGUCUGAUCCAGCCAUGCCGCGUGCGGGAAGAAGGCCUUCGGGUUGUAAACCGCUUUUGUCAGGGAAGAAAAGGUUCCUUCUAAUACAGGGGACUCAUGACGGUACCUGAAGAAUAAGCACCGGCUAACUACGUGCCAGCAGCCGCGGUAAUACGUAGGGUGCAAGCGUUAAUCGGAAUUACUGGGCGUAAAGCGUGCGCAGGCGGUUAUGUAAGACAGAGGUGAAAUCCCCGGGCUCAACCUGGGAACUGCCUUUGUGACUGCAUGACUAGAGUACGGCAGAGGGGGAUGGAAUUCCACGUGUAGCAGUGAAAUGCGUAGAUAUGUGGAGGAACACCGAUGGCGAAGGCAAUCCCCUGGGCCUGUACUGACGCU